Daphnia carinata is the source of this 222-nucleotide long non-coding RNA. RefSeq lists it as uncharacterized. The transcript is spliced from 3 exons. Lineage: Eukaryota; Metazoa; Arthropoda; Branchiopoda; Diplostraca; Daphniidae. The record is from RefSeq and is a predicted model, not a curated record.
AGCGUGGAUGGAGAAUAACUCGUGAAUGGAGGAACAAAUGAAAAAUGGAUAAGAUAAUACAACAAAAGGAUGAUCAAAUUAUGAAGCUGCAGGCCCAAUUAUUGGAACAACACAAAAUAUUAGAUAACAGCAAAUCUAAGGAUGCUCAAAUUUUGAGUGUACAAGCUCAGCUAGGGGAAAAGAACAAAUUGGAAUGGAACAGUUUCCAAACAGUGAAGGAGG